RNAcentral lists this small nucleolar RNA (98 nucleotides) under Neotoma lepida (desert woodrat). RNAcentral's name for it is "Small nucleolar RNA U13". It matches the Rfam family "Small nucleolar RNA U13". The record is from Rfam by way of RNAcentral. Lineage: Eukaryota; Metazoa; Chordata; Mammalia; Rodentia; Cricetidae.
AUCCUUAUUUGAUUCAGAAGUGUGACUGGGUUUCACACCACUGUGAAAUGUGAUGGUCUCAAGCUUUGUUGCAAUUCCAGCACACUAACUGUGUGAUG